GCGUGCUUACACAUGCAAGUCGCGUGCGCGGUUCCGUAGCAAUACGGGAUGGGCGCACGGCGCACGGGUGCGUAACACGUGGGCAAUCUGCCCUCCGAUGGGGAAUAACCCCGCGAAAGCGGGGCUAAUACCGCAUAACAUUCCUUGGACUACGGUUUGAGGACUCAAAGCAGCAAUGCGUCGGAGGAGGAGCCCGCGCCCGAUUAGCUAGUUGGUGAGGUAACGGCUCACCAAGGCAAUGAUCGGUAGCUGGUCUGAGAGGAUGGCCAGCCACACUGGAACUGAGACACGGUCCAGACUCCUACGGGAGGCAGCAGUGGGGAAUCUUGCGCAAUGGGCGAAAGCCUGACGCAGCGACGCCGCGUGGGGGACGAAGCUUCUCGGAGUGUAAACCCCUUUCGACUGGGACGAAUGCCCGCAAGGGAGUGACGGUACCAGUAGAAGAAGCCCCGGCUAACUACGUGCCAGCAGCCGCGGUAAGACGUAUGGGGCCAGCGUUGUUCGGAAUUACUGGGUGUAAAG
Molecule: ribosomal RNA, 522 nt
Filed under: uncultured bacterium
Lineage: Bacteria
Description: bacterial SSU rRNA
Rfam family: Bacterial small subunit ribosomal RNA
Source: RNAcentral